This 405-nucleotide ribosomal RNA is filed under the name uncultured bacterium. Its description in RNAcentral is "bacterial SSU rRNA". It matches the Rfam family "Bacterial small subunit ribosomal RNA", at positions 356 to 773 of the family's 1533-position model. The record is from RNAcentral.
GGGGAAUAUUGCACAAUGGGCGAAAGCCUGAUGCAGCGACGCCGCGUGAGGGAUGACGGCCUUCGGGUUGUAAACCUCUUUCAGUAGGGAAGAAGCGAAAGUGACGGUACCUGCAGAAGAAGCGCCGGCUAACUACGUGCCAGCAGCCGCGGUAAUACGUAGGGCGCAAGCGUUAUCCGGAUUUAUUGGGCGUAAAGAGCUCGUAGGCGGUUUGUCGCGUCUGCCGUGAAAGUCCGAGGCUCAACCUCGGAUCUGCGGUGGGUACGGGCAGACUAGAGUGAUGUAGGGGAGACUGGAAUUCCUGGUGUAGCGGUGAAAUGCGCAGAUAUCAGGAGGAACACCGAUGGCGAAGGCAGGUCUCUGGGCAUCUACUGACGCUGAGGAGCGAAAGCAUGGGGAGCGAAC